Molecule: ribosomal RNA, 274 nt
Filed under: uncultured bacterium
Lineage: Bacteria
Description: partial 16S ribosomal RNA
Rfam family: Bacterial small subunit ribosomal RNA
Source: RNAcentral
AUACGGAGGGUGCAAGCGUUACUCGGAAUCACUGGGCGUAAAGCGCGCGCAGGCGGUCUUUUAAGUUGGAUGUGAAAGCCUACGGCUCAACCGUAGAACUGCAUCCAAAACUAUUAGACUAGAGUGUGGGAGAGGAAGAUGGAAUUAGUUGUGUAGGGGUAAAAUCCGUAGAGAUAACUAGGAAUACCAAAAGCGAAGGCAAUCUUCUGGAACACUACUGACGCUGAGGCGCGAAAGCGUGGGGAGCAAACAGGAUUAGAAACCCCAGUGGUCC